GAUGAACGCUAGCUACAGGCUUAACACAUGCAAGUCGAGGGGAAACGACAUCGAAAGCUUGCUUUUGAUGGGCGUCGACCGGCGCACGGGUGAGUAACGCGUAUCCAACCUGCCCAUCACUUGGGAAUAACCUUGCGAAAGUAAGACUAAUACCCAAUGAUAUCCCACGUAGGCAUCGGAAUGGGAUUAAAGAUUUAUCGGUGAUGGAUGGGGAUGCGUCUGAUUAGCUUGUUGGCGGGGUAACGGCCCACCAAGGCAACGAUCAGUAGGGGUUCUGAGAGGAAGGUCCCCCACAUUGGAACUGAGACACGGUCCAAACUCCUACGGGAGGCAGCAGUGAGGAAUAUUGGUCAAUGGGCGAGAGCCUGAACCAGCCAAGUAGCGUGCAGGAAGACGGCCCUAUGGGUUGUAAACUGCUUUUAUAAGGGAAUAAAGUGGGUCACGUGUGACUUUUUGCAUGUACCUUAUGAAUAAGGACCGGCUAAUUCCGUG
Molecule: ribosomal RNA, 492 nt
Filed under: uncultured bacterium
Lineage: Bacteria
Description: partial 16S ribosomal RNA
Rfam family: Bacterial small subunit ribosomal RNA
Source: RNAcentral